RNAcentral lists this ribosomal RNA (430 nucleotides) under bacterium. Its description in RNAcentral is "bacterial SSU rRNA". It matches the Rfam family "Bacterial small subunit ribosomal RNA", at positions 354 to 776 of the family's 1533-position model. RNAcentral also lists the same sequence under 1 other name. The record is from RNAcentral.
GUGGGGAAUUUUGCGCAAUGCUCGAAAGAGUGACGCAGCGACGCCGCGUGAAUGACGAAGGCCUUCGGGUCGUAAAGUUCUUUCGACAGGGAAGAAAGUGCAUAUAAGUAACUGUAUAUGUAUUGACGGUACCUGUAUAAGCAGCCCCGGCUAACUCCGUGCCAGCAGCCGCGGUAAUACGGAGGGGGCGAGCGUUGUUCGGAGUGACUGGGCGUAAAGAGCACGUAGGCGGUGUUGUAAGUCAUUAGUCAAAGACUAGAGCUCAACUUUAGUAAGGCUAGUGAUACUAUAAUACUAGAGUAUCAGAGAGGAUUGCAGAAUUCCUGGUGUAGCGGUGAAAUGCGUAGAUAUCAGGAGGAAUACCGUUAGCGAAGGCGGCAAUCUGGCUGGAAACUGACGCUGAGGUGCGAAAGCGUGGGUAGCAAACAGG